ACACACACACACACACACACACACACACACACACACACACACACACACACACACACACACACACACACACACACACACACACACACACUAAUCUUAUCUAACUUAACAUAAACGUCACUGGAGUUAUCAAUAUCACCUUUUAACAAUAUUCCCUUUGAGAAACCGCUAUCAUUAUCUAUUACAACAAAAAAUAAAAAAUACAAAAAAAAAAGGCGUAAUAUGAAGUGAACUGACCGAUUUAUAAGAAAGACGUUAAUGGAUAUGUGGUACCGUAGAUAUGUCAGUGAAUGAAUCGUACCGUACCGAUCGUAAUGAAUGAGCCGUACCGUACACAACAUGUCUCACUCAAAUUAUCGUACUCGUCGCUCAUGACUCGCCUGGUGCCGUAGCGAUGUUAAUAUAUGGAUAGUACCGUAGAUAUGUCAGUGAAUGAGUCGUACCGUACAGAUCUUAAUGAAUGAGUCGUACCGUACACAACAUUGUCUCUCAAACUCGUAGCUGAAAUGACUCAUGGUAUAUUAGAAAGAGGAAGGUUAGCUUGUGAGUGAGACUUGAGACACGGAGGUAAGCACAGUGGCAAGGAGUAAUGGAUUCUUAACCUCUAAUACUGGUAACACUCGAAAUUUAAUUAACGCAAAGGAAAAAUGUAGACGAAAAAAAAUGAGGGCAAAAAAGUUGAUAUCGUAAUUGAAAAGUGAGAAAAAUGACGUAUCUUGAUUGUGUAGUUUUGGUUAUCGUAGUUAAUCUCACCUCACACCUGUGCUGUUGAAAAAACUAAUUUGAUUUAAGCCUCAGUGGUGAAAGUUUUUUUUUUUUUUUUUCAAUCAGGAUCACAUGAUUUCAAAAUAGGUCACCACUCUCUCUCUCUCUCUCUCUCUCUCUCUCUCUCUCUCUCUCUCUCUCUCUCUCUCUCUCUCUCUCUCUCUCUCUCUCUCUCUCUCUCUCUCAAAAAAAAAAUAAAUAAAUAAAUAAAUAAAAUAAAAAAAAAAAAUUCGGGGGAAAGGAAUACCAACCUAACACUCAUUUUUAUUUUCACGAACAAAAAAAUCAACUAUAUAAAAAAAUCUUGGUCCCUUCAUGGCCCUAAACUGAAUGGCACCGUGUCCCUUAAACCCUUCGCAGCACACGCCCUUUGGCACCACAAGUAGUUUGAGAGUGGUAAUAGCUCGAGGUAUAGGAUUGGCACUUCCCUCACCUCUGAUAGAAAGAUCAUUAAGAAUUUCUGGUUAAUUGUCUUCAAGGCAUAGGAAGCAGGAAAUACAGAAGCAGGCAGGGAGUUCCAGAGUUUACCAGAGAAAGGGGUACUAUACAGGAGGCAAGUCACGUGAUCUGUACCUACCUACCUGUCCACGUAUUUAAGCUUCCCAGGUGUAUGCUACCGUGAUACCUGAGUGAUUAAUACCUAACUCAACAGUAUUACCUGGACGCUUUUCCUUAUUCCUUCUGUUACUGUUUGGUGAUUUUAUACAGCUUCAGAAACUCGUGUGGGGAGUGAAAUAGUGACCUUCAUAGACCCUUCUUAAUGUUACCUUUAUACCUGGCAGUGAUUAGUAAUUGCUCUUUACUGAAAUUAAUGAGUUUUCAGGUGUGACAGUCCAUGUUAUCUAUUCUGACACUUGCUUUUACUUGAGACUUUCUAUUCCCAGAUAGGAAAAUGCUACCUGUAUACCUGGCAAUGAUUAGUACUUGCUCACCUGAGACUAAUACGUUAGGUGUUCAUUACAAUAUACCUAUGAAUGAGUGCCCAGGGAUGUGCUUUUAUAUUAAGAAUCAAGAUAGAAAAUUAACUUGGUAACAUUCAAAGCGCCAUUGUUUAUAUUUGGAUAGAUGGAGAAUUAGAGGAAGAAUAGUGGUGAGUUUUAUUAGUGUGUGGUGGAUAGAAGGAAGUGCUGAGGAAUAAUGGUUUGUGGUGAGGUUUGUUAUUGUGGCCUGGAAUAGACGGAUGGUGAAUAGAAGGCGGUGUUGAGAAAGAAUAGUUUGAGAGUUUUGUUAGUGUGGCUUGGAAUAGACGGAUAGUGAAUAGAGGGAUGUUAUAGAAAGAAUAGUUUGUGAUCCUAUUUUGUUAAUGUGGCUUGGAAUAGAUGAUUGAUAGGGGAGUGUAGGACAUGAGGGGAAGGUGUCUUGUAUUGCCGAAGGAGGUGAUAGUUUAAGGGUUAGAAGGAUUAAAGACCACCGCAUGUAUUAGUUACGUUCCUCUGUACGUGUAACUGAGAAAAUGAAUGAUACAAGUGAUACAUUGAUACACAUACUGUCCCCACUAAAAGUAAUGAGUGAAAGAUUAAUGUUCCUUUGAUACGUAGAACUGAGAGACGAAUGACACAGGUGAUACAUUGAUACACAUACUGUCCCCACUAAAGUAAUGAGUGAUAAGUGCUUAGAGUGAAAGAUUAAUGUUCCUUUUAUACGUAGAACUGAUAGACAAAUUAUACAAGUGAUACAUUGAUACAUGAACUAUCCCACUAAAGUAAUCAGAGUGGCAAGUGCUUAGAGUGAAAGACAGACUAAUGGAUGAUAAAUGUUUAGUGAGAGGAAGGCAGGGAAAUGGAAGAAGACAAGACAUAAAUGUAAAUAAAUAAACCUUCCUUCAAUUAACCUGAGCCAAGACCCGUUUGAAAGGAAGGGAAUGAAUACGUGGGAGAUGACAAUUUUUCCUUAUCUUGAUUGAAAAGGGAGAAGGAAGUCAAUUCGUAGGAGAUAACAAAAACCUUCCCAACUUCAAUUAAUCUGAGGCAAGGCUUGUUUAAAAGUAAGGAAGGAAAUAAGUGAGAGGUAGAUAACAAACCUUCCUUCAGUAGAUUUGAACCGGGAUGUGUUUGAAAAGAAAGAAGAAAAAAAUAGAAGGAAAUAAACAAACUUUCUUCAUUUAGUACGACCCAAGAUCCGUUUAAAAGUAAGGGAAGGAAGGAAAUGAAUGAGCAUGUGGUUGAUGACAAACCUUCCUUCAAUUAACUAAGCCAAGAUGUGUAUGAAAAGGAAGGAAGGAAUGGAAUUAGGGAGAUAACAAACAGAUUCCUUUCUUCAAUUAAUAAGUGGUAGAUGACGAACCUUCCUUCAGUAAACUAGAACAAACAAACUUUCCUUCAAUAAACUAGAACAAACACUCCUUCCUUCAAUUAAUACGUGAUAGAUGAACCUUCCUUCAAUAAACUAGAACAAACUCCUUCUUUCAAUUAAUACGUGGUAGAUAACGAACCUUCCUUCAGUAAACUAGAGCCAAGACGUGUUUGAAAGUAAGAAAGUCGAAAAAAUAAAUAUGAAUAGGAGAUAAACAUUCCUUCAAUUAACCUGACCCAAGACACGUUUGAAAGCAAGCAAGCAAGGAAGGAGCGAGAUGGUAGUGGUAGGGAGAACACCGAGUCACGCUGGCCAAGGCAACACACAGCCCGGCGAGAAAGUGGCGGUGAUAGGGCAGCCAGCGCCACACUUCAUGCACCACCUUUUCCUAUUAAUGGGGGGGAGGAAUACAUGCAAGUCAGAGAGAGAGAGAGAGAGGGGGGUGAGAUAGAAAAAAAAAAAAACCGUUCGCCUUUCCCAGUUCACACUAAAAUAUACUAGUCAUUUCUUUUUUCUUCCCUCUAAUAAAAGUAAUAGUAACAACAAUAUGAACAUAAACAAUAUUCAUCUCAUCCUGAAGAAAACAAACUACAAAUAACAACAAUAACAUGAAUAUUCACACAAAAAAUAUCGUUACCAUAUCUAACUAUUAACAGUACCCUGGCACUCCACGGCUCAGUGCCACUUACCUUCGCACUGAGAUGACGCCCGUGAAACUCACCACCACGGCACUCAGUUGCUCAUGCCGCGCUAGUGAACGUAAAGACCUGUAUUGUUAGGUUAGGUGAGGGAAAGUAAGGUAGAGUUGGGUUGGGUUUAAAUAGGUAAGGUUGGGUUAGGCUAGGUUGAAAUUGGAUAAGGUUGAAUUGGGUUGAAAUUAAGUAGGGUUUGGUUGGGCUAGGUUGAAAUUGGAUUGGGUUGGGUUGGAUUAAAAUAGGUAAGGUUUGGUUGGGCUAGGUUGAAGUUGGAUAAGGUUGGGUUGGGUUGGGCUAAGUUGAUAUUGGAUAAGGUUGAAUUUGGUUGAAAUUAGGUAAAGUUGGUUGGGCUAAGUUGAAAUUGGAUAAGGUUGAGUUGGGUUGGGAUGGGUUGGUCUAGUUAGGACAGGUUAGGUUAGUUAAGAUCACAGUGUGUUUUGUCUUGGUAUUGUCUAGGUUGUGAAUGGUAGCUAGUGUCAGGAACUCAUUAAUCUUCAGGUAUAAUAGUGUUGAGAGCAAUGGAAGGAGUCAUAGAAUAGCGUUAGAACAGCAAAGGAUGGAAGGCACACAGGACGGUAACAAGAGACAAACUAGACUCAAGGGAAACAACCAGAAGUAGUGGCGGUUUUUUAGGAUAUCCAAGGAACAUAGAAAUAGAGGGAUAGAAUAGCGUUAGAACAGCAAAGGAUGGAAGGCACAGGAAGAUAAUGGACAGAAACUAGACUAACUGAAAACAACCAGGCGUAUAAUAUAGAAAAUCGAGGAAAUGACAGAGAAAAGGAAUAGCGUUAGAAUAGCAAAUAAUGAGUUACAGGGAGAUGCAAGGGACAAACAGCUAAAGGAAACAAGUAUACAACCACAGUCAAUUACUAUGAACACUGCCAAAGAAGAGUAUGGUCUUAUUAACCCUUUCAGUAUAGGGACAUAUUUUUACCUUGAGUUUUGGGUGUGAUUAGACAAUUUUUACAUUAGGAAGUGUCUAUGGAGGUCAGAAGAUUAAUGGCCAGUCUUGACUAUUUUAAUCCCUCACGUAAGUUUCUGAAGCUGUAUAAGAUAACCAAAUAGUAAGCAGAAUGAAUAUAGAAACGUGUCAUGGUACUGAAGCUGAGAUCUAGUACUUGUAUCGUGUCAGGUAUUAAGUUGUAGAUGGUGAGAUAUCUAGCACUGUAUCGGGACGUACCACCUGUUUAGACACCUGUGAACGAGGAGCACCGCAAACACUGCCACCGGGUAUUGUUCUCUCGUGUAUCUUGUAGUGUUGAUACGAAUGGUUUCUCUAAAGUUAUUAUUGUACGUGUUUGUGGAAUGUUUGUUGAGAAUUAGGUGGUGUUGGAAGGCAGUACCGGAGUGCAGCACGUUCAGAACAAGACCAGAACACGUUGGAUGAGUGACAACAUCUAUUUAGUCUGGAA
This 5161-nucleotide long non-coding RNA is filed under the name Portunus trituberculatus (swimming crab). RNAcentral describes it as "uncharacterized LOC123518665". The record is from RNAcentral. Lineage: Eukaryota; Metazoa; Arthropoda; Malacostraca; Decapoda; Portunidae.